RNAcentral lists this long non-coding RNA (276 nucleotides) under Capsicum annuum. RNAcentral's name for it is "long non-coding RNA (CANN_LNC017480)". The record is from RNAcentral. Lineage: Eukaryota; Viridiplantae; Streptophyta; Magnoliopsida; Solanales; Solanaceae.
UCAGGAGUUCCAAUAUAUUACUGAUAAGAACAUAGCUGCUAGAAAUUAGCUUGCAGAAUUGUAAGAGACCAUGAGAACUAAUCAUCAACUUUGUCUAUUUGAACAAGAGAGGGCACUUAGGAGUGAUUUAGAGAAAUGGAACUUGGUUGAGGAGAGUAUACUUAGCUGAUACGGGAAUAAUCACGUAGACGAGCUUAUGAGAGUGUGUGUUGGACCCGAGGCUCAGUGUGCACAAGUGAGGUGCAAAGAAGACCCAAAAUAUGCAGCAAAACCGUC